Molecule: ribosomal RNA, 253 nt
Filed under: uncultured bacterium
Lineage: Bacteria
Description: partial 16S ribosomal RNA
Rfam family: Bacterial small subunit ribosomal RNA
Source: RNAcentral
UACAGAGGGGGCAAGCGUUGUUCGGAAUUACUGGGCGUAAAGGGCGCGUAGGCGGCCUGUUAAGUCGAACGUGAAAUCCCCGGGCUCAACCCGGGAACUGCGUCCGAUACUGGCAGGCUUGAAUCCGGGAGAGGGAUGCGGAAUUCCAGGUGUAGCGGUGAAAUGCGUAGAUAUCUGGAGGAACACCGGUGGCGAAGGCGGCAUCCUGGACAGUGACUGACGCUGAGACGCGAAAGCGUGGGGAGCAAACAGG